GAUGAAGAACGCAGCGAAAUGCGAUACUUGGUGUGAAUUGCAGAAUCCCGCGAAUCAUCGAGUUUUUGAACGCAAGUUGCGCCCGAAGCCAUUCGGCCGAGGGCACGUCUGCCUGGGUGUCACGCAUCGUUGCCCCCCCAAACUCCGGUUCGGGCGGGGCGGAAGUUGGCCUCCCGUGUGUGCCUGCGCGCGCGGUUAGCCCAAAAGCGAGUCCUCGGCGACGAGCGCCACGACAAUCGGUGGUUUUUUUACCCUCGUUCCUCGUCGUGCGUGUCCCGUCGCCCGAACGCGCUCUUGUGACCCUCACGCGUCGCCUCGGCGGCGCUCCCAACGCGACCCCAGGUCAGGCGGGACUACCCGCUGAGUUUAAGCAUAUCAAUAAGCGGAGG
This 389-nucleotide unclassified non-coding RNA is filed under the name soil metagenome. RNAcentral's name for it is "partial contains 5.8S ribosomal RNA, internal transcribed spacer 2, and large subunit ribosomal RNA". The stretch from base 1 to 122 matches the Rfam family "5.8S ribosomal RNA", at positions 35 to 154 of the family's 154-position model. The record is from RNAcentral.